Molecule: non-coding RNA, 109 nt
Organism: Cucurbita pepo subsp. pepo (vegetable marrow)
Lineage: Eukaryota; Viridiplantae; Streptophyta; Magnoliopsida; Cucurbitales; Cucurbitaceae
Source: RefSeq, a predicted model, not a curated record
UGGAUACAAUGGGGUAGCUUAGGGUGAGAACAUUUUCGAAUAUCUCCCAAGCUUCACUUAGUGUUUCAUCUUAAAAUUGUUGAAAAGCAAUAAUUUCAUUUCUAAACCA